RNAcentral lists this ribosomal RNA (429 nucleotides) under Bacteroidota bacterium. RNAcentral's name for it is "Bacteroidetes bacterium partial 16S ribosomal RNA". It matches the Rfam family "Bacterial small subunit ribosomal RNA", at positions 355 to 776 of the family's 1533-position model. The record is from RNAcentral. Lineage: Bacteria; Pseudomonadati; Bacteroidota.
UAGGGAAUCUUCCGCAAUGGACGCAAGUCUGACGGAGCAACGCCGCGUGAGUGAAGAAGGAUUUCGGUUCGUAAAACUCUGUUGUUAAGGAAGAACGAGUGUGAGAAUGGAAAGUUCAUGCUGUGACGGUACUUAACCAGAAAGGGACGGCUAACUACGUGCCAGCAGCCGCGGUAAUACGUAGGUCCCGAGCGUUGUCCGGAUUUAUUGGGCGUAAAGCGAGCGCAGGCGGUUAGAAAAGUCUGAAGUGAAAGGCAGUGGCUCAACCAUUGUAGGCUUUGGAAACUGUUUAACGUGAGUGCAGAAGGGGAGAGUGGAAUUCCAUGUGUAGCGGUGAAAUGCGUAGAUAUAUGGAGGAACACCAGUGGCGAAGGCGACUUUCUGGUCUGUAACUGACGCUGAUGUGCGAAAGCGUGGGGAUCAAACAGG